This 253-nucleotide ribosomal RNA is filed under the name uncultured bacterium. RNAcentral's name for it is "partial 16S ribosomal RNA". It matches the Rfam family "Bacterial small subunit ribosomal RNA", at positions 524 to 776 of the family's 1533-position model. The record is from RNAcentral.
UACGAGGGGGGCAAGCGUUGUUCGGAAUUAUUGGGCGUAAAGGGCGCGUAGGCGGUGCGGUAAGUCUGAUGUGAAAUCUCCGGGCUCAACUCGGAGUCUGCAUCAGAAACUGCCGUGCUCGAGUGUGGGAGAGGUGAGUGGAAUUCCCGGUGUAGCGGUGAAAUGCGUAGAUAUCGGGAAGAACACCCGUGGCGAAGGCGGCACUCUGGGACGGUACUGACGCUGAGACGCGAAAGCGCGGGGAGCGAACAGG